RNAcentral lists this ribosomal RNA (443 nucleotides) under uncultured bacterium. RNAcentral's name for it is "partial 16S ribosomal RNA". It matches the Rfam family "Bacterial small subunit ribosomal RNA", at positions 338 to 795 of the family's 1533-position model. The record is from RNAcentral.
CCUACGGGCGGCAGCAGUGGGGGAUAUUGGACAAUGGGGGGAACCCUGAUCCAGCGACGCCGCGUGAGUGAAGAAGUAUUUCGGUAUGUAAAGCUCUGUCAGCAGGGAAGAAAGAAAUGACGGUACUUGACCAAGAAGCCCCGGCUAACUACGUGCCAGCAGCCGCGGUAAUACGUAGGGGGCAAGCGUUAUCCGGAAUUACUGGGUGUAAAGGGAGCGUAGACGGUUAAGUAAGUCUGGAGUGAAAGGCCGCGGCCCAACCCCGGGACUGCUCUGGAAACUAUUGAACUUGAGUGCAGGAGAGGUAAGCGGAAUUCCUAGUGUAGCGGUGAAAUGCGUAGAUAUUAGGAGGAACACCAGUGGCGAAGGCGGCUUACUGGACUGUAACUGACGUUGAGGCUCGAAAGCGUGGGGAGCAAACAGGAUUAGAUACCCUGGUAGUC